Molecule: ribosomal RNA, 253 nt
Filed under: uncultured bacterium
Lineage: Bacteria
Description: partial 16S ribosomal RNA
Rfam family: Bacterial small subunit ribosomal RNA
Source: RNAcentral
UACGUAGGUGGCAAGCGUUGUCCGGAUUUACUGGGCGUAAAGAGCGCGCAGGCGGUCCGAUAAGUCGAAUGUGAAAGCCCCCGGCUCAACUGGGGAGGGUCAUUCGAUACUGUUCGACUCGAAGGCAGGAGAGGGAAGCGGAAUUCCCGGUGUAGUGGUGAAAUGCGUAGAUAUCGGGAGGAACACCAGGGGCGAAGGCGGCUUCCUGGGCUGGUCUUGACGCUGAGGCGCGAAAGGGAGGGGAGCAAACGGG